AACGAACGCUGGCGGCAGGCCUAACACAUGCAAGUCGAGCGGACCUUUCGGGGUCAGCGGCGGACGGGUGAGUAACGCGUGGGAAUAUGCCCUUCUCUACGGAAUAGUCCUGGGAAACUGGGGGUAAUACCGUAUACGCCCUUUGGGGGAAAGAUUUAUCGGGGAAGGAUUAGCCCGCGUUGGAUUAGGUAGUUGGUGGGGUAAUGGCCUACCAAGCCGACGAUCCAUAGCUGGUUUGAGAGGAUGAUCAGCCACACUGGGACUGAGACACGGCCCAGACUCCUACGGGAGGCAGCAGUGGGGAAUCUUAAACAAUGGGGGCAACCCUGAUCUAGCCAUGCCGCGUGAGUGAUGAAGGCCUUAGGGUUGUAAAGCUCUUUCAGCUGGGAAGAUAAUGACGGUACCAGCAGAAGAAGCCCCGGCUAACUCCGUG
Molecule: ribosomal RNA, 433 nt
Filed under: uncultured bacterium
Lineage: Bacteria
Description: partial 16S ribosomal RNA
Rfam family: Bacterial small subunit ribosomal RNA
Source: RNAcentral